CCUGGUGGCUCAGACGGUAAAGCAUCUGCCUGCAAUGCGGGAGACCUGGGUUCAAUCCCUAGGUCAGGA
This 69-nucleotide transfer RNA is filed under the name Bos taurus (domestic cattle). It matches the Rfam family "tRNA". From Rfam's summary of the family: Transfer RNA (tRNA) molecules are approximately 80 nucleotides in length. Their secondary structure includes four short double-helical elements and three loops (D, anti-codon, and T loops). The record is from Rfam by way of RNAcentral. Lineage: Eukaryota; Metazoa; Chordata; Mammalia; Artiodactyla; Bovidae.